UCACAUCCUAUACAUGAUCUACUCUCAAUACAUGUAUAGGGUAACUCUAAUGCAAAAUAGGAAAGUAAACUACCAACUAGCACUAGGGCGCUAAGCCCUUGGCGCGAUCUUCUGCCGGUCCGCUCUCGUAUGUACCUGUACCCCAAAACCACACGGGGUGAGAACUAUAUAAAUAUAGUUCCCAGUGGGUUCGGCCGCCGACUCCGCCGAUCUUCCCACUAGGUCCAGGCUGGCACAGAUAGAUAGAUAGAAAGAUAUACGAAAAUAAACUGCUACUAUAUCUACUAUGCCAUCAAAGGAAAGGAGUGCAUGGAUUAUCAUCUAGCAACAAUCUACAAUCAUGCUAAUAUGCCUCCACAGUGAAAUGAAUACAACUAUAACAUAGUUAUGCAAUGCACUAUGUCUAAUCAUGGUAUGAAUGCAAUCCACUUAUGCUAUUCACGUUAUUGCCCAAUCCACUAGGCUACUUUGCCUAAGAUCUCAAAUCUAGUAGGUGAAAAGCUACCUCAUUCUC
This 514-nucleotide long non-coding RNA is filed under the name Ananas comosus (pineapple). Its description in RNAcentral is "long non-coding RNA (ACOM_LNC040893)". The record is from RNAcentral. Lineage: Eukaryota; Viridiplantae; Streptophyta; Magnoliopsida; Poales; Bromeliaceae.